UGAACACAAUACACUAUUUGCUCAUAGCACCUGAGCUUCUCCAAUCUUGAGACCCUCCUCUUCUCCUGCUUCUCUGAUUGAAGAUGAUGAGGUACCAGGAAUUGGUACCUUGGUGGCCUCAGAUCCUGUUUGUGACCAAAUUUGCCACAUGAGGUACAGUAACGAGAAUUCAGGUGGCCCCUCUGGUCUCAGAAGAAACCUGGUGUUUUGGAGAUGACUCCUGCCCUUACUGCUCUAGGUGGGCCUGAUUCUCCAAGCAACACCUCACAGCACCUUUUCACAUGACCUGAUACAAAACCCU
Long non-coding RNA from Phacochoerus africanus (Common warthog), 301 nucleotides. RefSeq lists it as uncharacterized. The record is from RefSeq and is a predicted model, not a curated record. NCBI's taxonomy places the organism in Eukaryota, Metazoa, Chordata, Mammalia, Artiodactyla, Suidae. The transcript is spliced from 3 exons.